RNAcentral lists this ribosomal RNA (524 nucleotides) under uncultured Nitrosospira sp. RNAcentral's name for it is "bacterial SSU rRNA". It matches the Rfam family "Bacterial small subunit ribosomal RNA", at positions 347 to 864 of the family's 1533-position model. Lineage: Bacteria; Pseudomonadati; Pseudomonadota; Betaproteobacteria; Nitrosomonadales; Nitrosomonadaceae. The record is from RNAcentral.
AGCAGCAGUGGGGAAUUUUGGACAAUGGGCGAAAGCCUGAUCCAGCCAUGCCGCGUGAGUGAAGAAGGCCUUCGGGUUGUAAAGCUCUUUCGGCUGGGACGAAAAGGUCCGUGCUAACACCACGGAUCCAUGACGGUACCAGCAGAAGAAGCACCGGCUAACUACGUGCCAGCAGCCGCGGUAAUACGUAGGGUGCAGGCGUUAAUCGGAAUUACUGGGCGUAAAGCGUGCGCAGGCGGUUUUCUAAGACAGGUGUGAAAUCCCCGGGCUUAACCUGGGAACUGCGCUUGUAACUGGCAGGCUAGAGUGUGGCAGAGGGGGGUGGAAUUCCACGUGUAGCAGUGAAAUGCGUAGAUAUGUGGAGGAACACCGAUGGCGAAGGCAGCCCCCUGGGCUAACACUGACGCUCAUGCACGAAAGCGUGGGGAGCAAACAGGAUUAGAUACCCUGGUAGUCCACGCCCUAAACUAUGUCAACUGGUUGUCGGGGAAGCAAUUCCUUGGUAACGAAGCUAACGCGUGAAG